Molecule: long non-coding RNA, 281 nt
Organism: Tupaia belangeri chinensis (Chinese tree shrew)
Lineage: Eukaryota; Metazoa; Chordata; Mammalia; Scandentia; Tupaiidae
Exons: 4
Source: RefSeq, a predicted model, not a curated record
AGGAAACUGUCCACUAACUAUAAGUGAAACAGGAAAAUACUUCCCACCUGACAUCUUCUUUGAUCAAAAUUUAACCUCAUGAACAUAAACUAUUGAAAUAUAACAGAACCCAGACUUUGAAAUAUAAGGAAAACUAGAAUUGUAGCAGCCUAAGUGUUUGCAAUUCCUUAACGGUGCUGCAUUGUUCUCUCACCAAGUCAGUUUAUAGGGAAGCACAAACAUCAUGAGAGAAGAAGGCUACUGUGAGCGGGAGAAACCAACACUGAAUUUGCUGUGUGCCC